CUGGUGUGAUGAAGUUCUUCGGUUGCAUUUCCCCUGUCCUGUGGCUCUUCUUGGCUGAAUCUUCUGGAUCUGUCACUUUGACACAACCCAGGUCAGUAAUGGCAUCCCCUGGGGGCUCUGUAAUGCUGGACUGUGUAGUAUCUGGAUACAAUAUUGAUGAUCACCACAUGUAUUGGUUCCGUCAAACCCCUGGGAAAGGCCUCGUCAUCAUAGCAGGCUUCCGAACUGGAUAUACUGCAGACAUUGCCAAUGAAUUUAACGGACGUGUGACACCUUCCACCAGUGGUUCAACAGCAAAGCUAGCGAUGAGUGCCCUGACCAUUUCAGAUGCUUGUGUCUACUAUUGUGCCAGAUGA
Non-coding RNA from Lacerta agilis (Sand lizard), 356 nucleotides. The record is from the annotation of a RefSeq genome assembly. Lineage: Eukaryota; Metazoa; Chordata; Lepidosauria; Squamata; Lacertidae.